AGUCGAGCGCACCUUUCGGGGUGAGCGGCGGACGGGUUAGUAACGCGUGGGAAUAUACCCUUUGGUACGGAAUAGCCUCUGGAAACGGAGAGUAAUACCGUAUGAGCCCUUCGGGGGAAAGAUUUAUCGCCAAAGGAUUAGCCCGCGUUAGAUUAGGUAGUUGGUGGGGUAAUGGCCUACCAAGCCUACGAUCUAUAGCUGGUUUUAGAGGAUGAUCAGCAACACUGGGACUGAGACACGGCCCAGACUCCUACGGGAGGCAGCAGUGGGGAAUCUUGGACAAUGGGCGCAAGCCUGAUCCAGCCAUGCCGCGUGAGUGAUGAAGGCCUUAGGGUCGUAAAGCUCUUUCGCCUGUGAAGAUAAUGACGGUAGCAGGUAAAGAAACCCCGGCUAACUCCGUGCCAGCAGCCGCGGUAAUACGGAGGGGGUUAGCGUUGUUCGGAAUUACUGGGCGUAAAGCGCACGUAGGCGGACUGGAAAGUAUGGGGUGAAAUCCCAGGGCUCAACCCUGGAACUGCCUCAUAAACUAUCAGUCUAGAGUUCGAGAGAGGUGAGUGGAAUUCCGAGUGUAGAGGUGAAAUUCGUAGAUAUUCGGAGGAACACCAGUGGCGAAGGCGGCUCACUGGCUCGAUACUGACGCUGAGGUGCGAAAGUGUGGGGGAGCAAACAGGAUUAGAUACCCUGGUAGUCCACACCGUAACGAUGAAUGCCAGUCGUCGGGUAGCAUGCUAUUCGGUGACACACCUAACGGAU
RNAcentral lists this ribosomal RNA (753 nucleotides) under Ruegeria sp. Rg178. RNAcentral describes it as "bacterial SSU rRNA". It matches the Rfam family "Bacterial small subunit ribosomal RNA", at positions 60 to 860 of the family's 1533-position model. The record is from RNAcentral. Lineage: Bacteria; Pseudomonadati; Pseudomonadota; Alphaproteobacteria; Rhodobacterales; Roseobacteraceae.